RNAcentral lists this transfer RNA (16 nucleotides) under Saccharum officinarum (sugarcane). Its description in RNAcentral is "partial tRNA-Leu". Lineage: Eukaryota; Viridiplantae; Streptophyta; Magnoliopsida; Poales; Poaceae. RNAcentral also lists the same sequence under 13 other names. The record is from RNAcentral.
AAAAUCCGUCGACUUU